This 253-nucleotide ribosomal RNA is filed under the name uncultured bacterium. Its description in RNAcentral is "partial 16S ribosomal RNA". It matches the Rfam family "Bacterial small subunit ribosomal RNA", at positions 524 to 776 of the family's 1533-position model. The record is from RNAcentral.
UACGAAGGGGGCUAGCGUUGUUCGGAAUUACUGGGCGUAAAGGGCGCGUAGGCUGUGCUGUAAGUCAGGCGUGAAAGCCCCGGGCUCAACCUGGGAAUUGCGCUUGAUACUGCGGCGCUGGAAGGUGGGAGAGGAUGGCGGAAUUCCCAGUGUAGAGGUGAAAUUCGUAGAUAUUGGGAAGAACACCGGUGGCGAAGGCGGCCAACUGGACCACAACUGACGCUGAGGCGCGAAAGCGUGGGGAGCAAACAGG